UCUUGGUGUUCUAUUUUCCAUCAAAAGGCAUCAACACGGUACUUGUAGCCAGAAUAGAUUAGAGAAAAGAAACGAGAACAGGAAUGUUUAUUCUCAACGACUAAACAGUAAUUAAGAAGGAACAGGGUAGCAUUGCUGUCAGUUGCGGGGUGAUAGUGGAGCAGUGGCAUCAAAGCAAGGGCGGUUGUUAGCAAGGAGUUGAUGAGACCGGUGGCAAGAAGGUAUUUGGAAGGCUUUUGCAACUGCCUGCCCUACUAAGUAUGAAACACGCUGGUCCGAGACACCUGACAACCAACAUGUCUUGACUGCCCUGCUGCAGUGAUGCCAGAGGCCAACCGUACGGGAGCCUGGGGAGAGGAUGUACGGAAGCACCGUAAACACCUUGCAACGUUUUGAAACCUCUUCCAGAGCCAAUCAGCAUCGCUAAUGGGCCAGUCUCUUUCCAGCCCUGGGACGUCAAACCGAGCCAACGUUAUUAGCUUUCAAAAAUCAAAGGAGUCAAGACCUGUCUCCCCGGAUGGGCCCCGCCUCUCUCAGCUUCCUGGAUGUGCAGCCUUGAUUAGCACACUCUCCUAAUCAUAAGGCCUCCUUUGAACACACGGCUUUAUUCCUAGAACACCAACGGCCGUUGAUGGUAUCGCUGGACUCCGUGGCUACAGGUGGGUAUUUCCAGCGUGAACACCAGCGGUCUGUUCAAAGGGAACGUGCUUAAUAGUAUUUAAUAGAAGCUGUACAUUGUGAUGGAUCCAUAAAAGGAUGCAUCUCAUUUCCUGCUCAUUAAUUGAAACUCCUGAAGCCCCAAAGAAUAUCUGGUAUGGAUGAAAAAUGGACAGAACCCUCCUACUUGGAAACCUCUGUGUUCCCCUCUCCGCCCAGAGACCAUACUUGGUCCACGGAGUCUCUAUUAAAUCUAAUUUCUCCAGGCCGAUCUUGAGGUCGGGGAGGCCGGCCCGGUGACGUGGAAGCUAGUCACCUACACCUCCCUUCGUGGAAAAAAGACUUUUCUAAAUUCGAGCCAUCCUCUUAGACUUCUAUGUCUUUGACCGGUUGGCCACUGCACAUUCAUGUCUUUAGUAGGUUCAAGAAUGCAUGCAUUUCACCCCCAGAUGUGGAAACAUGCAUGACUCUUCUUCAUAGUUGAAAAUCCAAAGAGCAGGGGCACCGGGAUGGCUCAGCGGUUGAGCGUCACCGGGGUCAUGACCCCGGGGUCCUAGGAUCGAGUCCUGCAUGGACCCUGCUUCUCCCUUUGCCCGUGUCUCUGUAUCUCUCAUGAAUAAAUAA
Long non-coding RNA from Canis lupus familiaris (dog), 1281 nucleotides. RefSeq lists it as uncharacterized. The record is from RefSeq and is a predicted model, not a curated record. Lineage: Eukaryota; Metazoa; Chordata; Mammalia; Carnivora; Canidae. The transcript has 3 exons.